RNAcentral lists this non-coding RNA (48 nucleotides) under Schistosoma mansoni. The record is from RNAcentral. Lineage: Eukaryota; Metazoa; Platyhelminthes; Trematoda; Strigeidida; Schistosomatidae.
AUCAAGCUGAAGAGUUUCAAAUAGGACGAAACGCGUGUCAAACUGUAU